RNAcentral lists this ribosomal RNA (381 nucleotides) under uncultured archaeon. RNAcentral's name for it is "bacterial SSU rRNA". It matches the Rfam family "Archaeal small subunit ribosomal RNA", at positions 345 to 727 of the family's 1478-position model. The record is from RNAcentral.
AACCUUUACAAUGCACGAAAGUGUGAUAAGGGAAUCCCGAGUGCCUUGCUUUUAGUAAGGCUUUUGCUAAGAGUAAAAACCUUAGCGAAUAAGUGGUGGGCAAGACUUGUGCCAGCCGCCGCGGUAACACCAGCGCCACAAGUGGCAACCGCUUUUAUUGGGCCUAAAGCGUCCGUAGCUGGUUCAGUAAAUUUCCUGUGAAAUUGUUAGGCUUAACCUAACAUCAUGCAGGAAAGACUACUGAACUUGGGACCGGGAGGCGUCAGAGGUAUUCUUGAGGGAGCGGUAAAAUGCUAUAAUCUCAGGAGGACCACCGAUGGCGAAGGCAUCUGACGAGAACGGAUCCGACGGUGAGGGACGAAAGCUAGGGGAGCAAACCGG